GAAGAGGCAUAACAGAACUGCUAACUCUCAGACCUGAGAUUAUAAACCUCAGACUCUUC
RNAcentral lists this transfer RNA (59 nucleotides) under Phrynocephalus mystaceus (secret toadhead agama). RNAcentral describes it as "tRNA-Ser". Lineage: Eukaryota; Metazoa; Chordata; Lepidosauria; Squamata; Agamidae. The record is from RNAcentral.